RNA transcript from Cloeon dipterum, 3563 nucleotides. RefSeq lists it as uncharacterized. NCBI's taxonomy places the organism in Eukaryota, Metazoa, Arthropoda, Insecta, Ephemeroptera, Baetidae. The transcript is spliced from 30 exons. The record is from RefSeq and is a predicted model, not a curated record.
UGAAUCGCUAACUGCACGCUCUACAAUGAUAGUUCUCCUGAUUUUAGUCUGUUCCACGUUAAACCCUAUUCAUGCGGCAACUACGACAAAGCCAACUAAAGUGCGAGCGGCAACUACCACGAAGCCAACCAAAGUGCAAGUGCCGCAAAAUUGCACUGAGGGCGAUUGCAAACUCCAUGAUUCAAGACUCAGGACUUUCCUUAGCUCUGCUCUAUCCGAGGAAUUUGUAUCAGUUUUGGCAGACACUCCUUUUUCGGCAUUUUUAUCAGCUAAUGCGGACUUGGGGGAUGUAUUUUACAAGUGCGGACGCCUCUUUUACUCUAGCCACAAUCAAGCUCAAUAUGGAGCAGCCGCAAUAGUUUGUGCCAAGAGGAAAAUGCAAUUGGUUACGGUGGAAGAAGGAGCAAAUAACUUGGAUUGUCUUGUCCCCAAUUUGGACAAUAUGACGGCAGAGGAGCAAAAGGAUCUGAAAUACUAUUUCGUCUGGACGAGCGGAAUGGCCGAGGGGAGCAACUGCGGAAACGCGGCGUACUCGUGGUGCGCAGGAAACAGGACCAUCAUCGACGCGAAUGCGUUCGACCUGCCUCUGGAGAUUGCAAAAAAGGAAAGGUGUCUUGCUCUUUCCACGAUGACCAAGACACUCGUUCGUAUGAGCUGCACCACUCCUAAUUACUUCUUUUGUGAAUACAAGUGUAAAACUGUUUCAUGCAUGAGCAACCAGAUGUGCGAAACUAGUAAAAAUAACUCUCUCUUUGAAAGCGGGACUGGAAAAAUAAAACGACGGUCUGUGAGUGGUGUUUGGGCAGAGUGGAAACAGACGAUUGGCUAUAACAAAUAUUCAUACACAAGCUAUAUAUUUGGUUACAAAAAAGUGACUUGGACGGAAAACUUAAAGAUUUGUUGCAGCUUGGGAAUGAAGCCGAUCAAAGUCACGGAUGAGCUGCUUUACGCGCUUAACAACGUGGGAAACGAGAGCACUAAAAUCAGUAUCUUUACCACUCCUGUGCGUAAUAGCGACCCAAACAUAACUGAGGAAAGAAAUUUGAUAAAAACUGCUUUCUGGACGGCGGCCACGCGGCAAGGGUGCGCAGGCCAGUACCGCUACUGCUUGUACGACGACAUAGGUCCGUGGGACUCGCAGGACAAGUUUUGGGACACGGUAAACCCGCGCGACGAUGGAUCGUGUCUCGCCAUCGACAGGGAGUACACAAAGACUAGGACGCCGUUUGGGGUGCGGCAGAUGCAAUGCUUGUCUGGCGGCACCAAUUUUGCUUGUCAGAAAGAGGGAAAGAGAGUCGAUGAUUUUGUAAAUGGAGACCAAGGAAAUGAUAUUGAGAAGGUCAAUAAAGCUUGCGACUAUCCCAUCUGCUCAGACCUAAAAUACUGUUCACUCAAUCAAUUUUACACUGGACAAUAUAAAAACAAAGACCGACUUCUUUUUAAACCACACCUUUUGGGGGAAUGGAAAACAGCUUGCGGAGUUCGAUAUUUAUUCCACAAUCUAAAUAUGACUUGGUCUCUUGCUCUUGACUUUUGCUGUUCCCUGGGAAUGAAUCUCAUAUCUGUGCAGUCAUACGAAAAAUUAAUCUGCCUAGAUAGUAUUUUAGGGGAAGAAAAGUACGGAUACUGGACUUCUGGAACGAACAUGAACUGUUCAAAUCAGCGAUAUCGUUGGUGCUCACCUGAAUUUAGAGACUACAUCAAACCAAGUUUAAAUCUCGACAACAAAACAUUGAACUUCCAGCAGUCUGAUCCGAUUACUCCUGAAACGAGUUCAAAAUUAUGCGUGGUGUUGCAAAAAUCACCGACUUUGGGGUCAAUUUUGACUGUUGACAGUUGUGAAAAGUCAAUGCGGAAACCUAUUUGCGAAGGUCGAUUGAAGGCGCAGUCACAUCUGCAAGAGGUUUUCAAUGAGUGCAAAGCGACACAUCGCGUCACGCAACGGGAAAUUGAAAAAUUCAACAACACAGACAUAGAACGUUCUUCAUUCAAAAUGAAGUGUUUUUCGAGUUGUAUCGCGGAACUUCUUGGAUUGGUGUAUGAUAAUGGAGCGUUUUGGGAAGAUGAAGUUGAGAAAGCGAUUAAAAAAGUAAAAGAUCCAAGAGCGCUUGAAGAUUUCCGUUCUCUCAUGAAAAAAUACCCUACAAGCUUAUUUAAGAAAGCAUCCGAUAAUUUGAACGCCCUUAGGAUGAUGCUCGUAGAGCAGAGCAAAGAAGAAGCUUGGAAAUCUACUUUGUUCGUUAACAUGGCGCUUGAAAAGUUUUCGGAAUGCAAUACGAUCGUUCAAUCAAAUAAGGAUGUUGAAUGCUCUUAUGUAUAUAAUUUCCUCAAAUGUUUUACGAACGGUUCCACAUCAUUGGAAAAAUUCUGGAACAGAGAUUUACACCAAUUAUUUGAUUCAAGAGAAUACGCCUUGACAAUUUCAAAAGGACUUUUUGAAAUCUCGACGAUGGAAUCUUUUUCGAAUAGCGCAUAUAACUUGCUUGAUGUAACAAAAAAUGACGACUACCAGAGACUCCAGCAAUAUAUUGAAUAUGUUGAUUCCCAAUCAUUCUCAGUGGAGUUCACUAGCUCAAAUUGCACCUUUAAGCUAUUGAGACCAAAAAAUUUGACUUUAAAUGACGCUUGUUUAACAAAAGAAAAAUAUUUUGAGCCCAUUACAGGAUACGAUGACAUCUUGAAGAGUAAAAUAUUGGAAGAAUCACAGAGCUCAUACUCUCAAAUGGCUGCUGCUGCAAUUUGUCAUGAAGCGAAUGGAAGUCUGAUUACGUCUGCUGACUUCAGUAAUGCAUCAAUCCUCAUAAACAUCACGAAUACCGCAAACAAUUAUAAUUCAAUGAAAAAACGAAAGGACCUGUUUCUUUCAACAGUCUAUAACAAGAUAUUGAUGGAUGAAAUUUAUAAAGACUCUAAAGGAGUGAUUCGUUGGUGCAGUACCUCCGCUGAGGCACCAAAAGAUGAGUAUAAUUUUUUAAAUUCCACCCAAGCCUUGGUUUCCAUGUACGAUGUAACGAGAUUUAAUUAUUCGGCAAGUCCUGUAAGCUUGUCCUCCUCAGUCCUUACAUUUUUCUGCAAGUUUGAAAAAUCCUUCUUGGCACUAUGCAAAACGAAUGCAUCAAAUUGAAGUUCAAGUACUCGAAAUUUGCAUUAAAUUUAAAUGUUAAACAGUUCAUUUAUUUUUAAUUUUUGACAAACUGCUUUUUAACAUUUUUUUAUAGUGAGAUUAAACAAGCUAUAAUAAUAAUAAUAAUAAUAAAGUCAAUUCAAAUUUUACCUUGUUUGUGAGUAAAUAAUAUAUGGCCAAGGGCAUAAAAAUUGGUUUUGAGUUCCGUAAGCUGCGCUGCAGAAUAAGGGAAGAGUGGUUGUCACGGAGUACGGGUUUUUCCUCUUGCAACUGAAAAUAAUUGUACAUUUUUUUUAAAUUCACUUAAAAUGGCUCUUCACUUGAAACAAUGUAAAAUUUAUCCCACAUACAUUUUAACAAAAAGUUACAUGCACUGUAUAUUAAGUUGAAAUCAAUGUUCAGUUUAUGAUUUUGUUAAGAUGCACCAUCAAGAUUUUUA